RNAcentral lists this ribosomal RNA (772 nucleotides) under uncultured bacterium. RNAcentral describes it as "bacterial SSU rRNA". It matches the Rfam family "Bacterial small subunit ribosomal RNA", at positions 8 to 796 of the family's 1533-position model. The record is from RNAcentral.
AGAGUUUGAUCCUGGCUCAGGACGAACGCUGGCGGCGUGCUUAACACAUGCAAGUCGAGCGGAAAGGCCCUUCGGGGUACUCGAGCGGCGAACGGGUGAGUAACACGUGAGCAACCUGCCCUUGGCUUUGGGAUAACCCUCGGAAACGGGGGCUAAUACCGGAUAUGCACCGACUGUCGCAUGGUGGUUGGUGGAAAGUUUUUCGGCUGAGGAUGGGCUCGCGGCCUAUCAGCUUGUUGGUGGGGUGAUGGCCUACCAAGGCGACGACGGGUAGCCGGCCUGAGAGGGCGACCGGCCACACUGGGACUGAGACACGGCCCAGACUCCUACGGGAGGCAGCAGUGGGGAAUAUUGCACAAUGGGCGCAAGCCUGAUGCAGCGACGCCGCGUGAGGGAUGACGGCCUUCGGGUUGUAAACCUCUUUCAGCAGGGACGAAGCGAGAGUGACGGUACCUGCAGAAGAAGCGCCGGCCAACUACGUGCCAGCAGCCGCGGUAAGACGUAGGGCGCGAGCGUUGUCCGGAUUUAUUGGGCGUAAAGAGCUCGUAGGCGGCUUGUCGCGUCGACUGUGAAAACCCGCGGCUCAACCGUGUGGUCUGCAGUCGAUACGGGCAGGCUAGAGUUCGGUAGGGGAGACUGGAAUUCCUGGUGUAGCGGUGAAAUGCGCAGAUAUCAGGAGGAACACCGGUGGCGAAGGCGGGUCUCUGGGCCGAUACUGACGCUGAGGAGCGAAAGCGUGGGGAGCGAACAGGAUUAGAUACCCCUGUAGUCC